This 3147-nucleotide ribosomal RNA is filed under the name Streptomyces mutabilis. The record is from RNAcentral. Lineage: Bacteria; Bacillati; Actinomycetota; Actinomycetes; Kitasatosporales; Streptomycetaceae.
UCAUCGAUCUCCUCGGGGAGGGGCCCACGAGCGCGUGGGGCGCACGGGGGCCUGUGGGGACGUGAGGGUGCGUGGGGGUGGGGGUGUGGGGAGUGCUGACUCGGAUUCAAUGGCCCCGGACGUGUCAUGUCCAUAGCCCUGGCGUGGAGAUCGUGAGGGGAGAGAAUGACCUUCGUGGAUGCCGUACCGGGUGCCGCCCCGAACGCCUCGGCGGCUGCCGAGGGACUGCCGUUCUUCGUCUACGGCACCUCCCGCCCCGGCGCCCUCAACCACACCCGCUUCCUCAGCGGCCGCACCCGCUCCGAGGAACCGGCCCACCUCACCGGCGCCACCCUGUACCCCGGCCCCGGCUGCCCCUACGCCGUCGAGGGCCCCGACGGAGUGGUGACCGGCGACCUCGUCACCGCCCGGCCCGAGGCGUACGCCGACCUGCUCGCCACCCUCGACCGGCUGGAGGAGUACACGCCGGGGGACCCGCGCGACCUCUACGACCGGGUCGCGAGGAACGUCGCACGGACCGCCGACGGCACGCUCGUCCGCGCCUGGGUCCACGUCGCCGCCCCGGCCGUCGCCGCCCGGCUGCGUGCCCGGGCGAGGCCGAUCGCGGGCGGGGAGUGGCGGAUCGCGAGCCGGUGAGCCCGGCGGGCGGCCCUAAGGCGCCACCGGCUCCACCCGCACCGCGCACACCUUGAACUCCGGCAUCCGCGAGGUCGGGUCCAGCGCCGGAUUGGUCAGCGUGUUGGCGCGGCCCUCGCCCGGCCAGUGGAAGGGCAUGAAGACCGUGUCGGGGCGGAUGGCGGUGGUGAUGCGGGCCGGAGCAACGGCCCGGCCGCGCCGGGAGACGACGGCCACCGGAUCGCCCUCGGCCGCCCCGAGCCGCGCCGCCAGCCGCGGGUGCAGUUCCACGAAGGGGCCGGGCGCGGCGGCGUUCAGCUCGCCCACCCGCCGGGUCUGCGCGCCGGACUGGUACUGCGCCACGACCCGCCCGGUGGUCAGCAGCACCGGGUACGCCUCGUCCGGCUCCUCGGCGCUCGGCCGGUGUGAGACGGGGGCGAACCUGGCCCGGCCGUCGUCGGUGGCGAAACGGUCGAGGAAGAGGCGGGGGGUGCCCGGAUGCCGGUCGGCCCCGCCGCGGUCGGUCUCCCCGGGCGCCGGGCACGGCCAGAACACCCCGUUCUCCUCCGCGAGCCGCCGGUAGUCGAUCCCGGAGUAGUCGGCGGGCCCGCCCGCGCUCGCCCGGCGCAGUUCCUCGAACACCUCCUCCGGCUCGGUCGGGAAGCCCUUGUCCACCCCGAGCCGGCCGGCCAGUUCGUGCAGCACCUCCAGGUCGCUGCGGAUCCCGUCGGGCGGCGUGAUCGCGCGCCGCCGCAGCAGCACCCGCCCCUCCAGGCUGGUCGUCGUCCCCGUCUCCUCCGCCCACUGCGUCACCGGCAGCACCACGUCCGCCAGCGCCGCCGUCUCGGAGAGCACCACGUCGCACACGGCCAGGAAGUCCAGCGACCGCAGCCGCCCCUCGACGUGCGCGGCCCGCGGCGCCGACACCACCGGGUUGGACCCCAUCACCAGCAGCGACCUGAUGUCCGUUCCCAGCGCGUCCAGCAGCUCGUACGCACUGCGCCCCGGCCCCGGCAACGAGUCGGGGUCGACACCCCACACCCGGGCCACGUGCCGCCGCGCCGCCGGGUCGGUCAGCUUCCGGUAACCCGGCAACUGGUCGGCCUUCUGCCCGUGCUCGCGCCCGCCCUGCCCGUUGCCCUGCCCCGUCAGGCAGCCGUACCCGGACAGGGGCCGGCCGGCCCGCCCGGUCGCCAGGCACAGGUUGAUCCACGCGCCCACCGUGUCCGUCCCCUUGGCCUGCUGCUCGGGCCCCCGCGCGGUCAGCACCAUCGCCGCGUCCGGCGCGCAGAACAGCCGCACCGCCUCCCGCAGUUCGGGGACGGACACUCCCGUGAUCCGCUCCACGUACUCCGGCCAGUGCGCCAUCGCCGCCGCCCGCGCGUCCUCCCAGCCCGAGGUGCGCUCCUCGACGUACUCCGCGUCCACCCGUCCCUCGGCGACGACCAGGUGCAGCAUCCCCAGCGCGAGCGCGAGGUCCGUGCCGGGCCGGGGCGCGAGAUGCAGGUCGGCCUGUUCCGCGGUCCUGGUGCGCCGCGGGUCGACGACGAUCAGCGUGCCGCCGUUCUCGCGCAGCUCGGUGAAGUACCGCAAGGACGGCGGCAUCGUCUCCGCCGGGUUCGAGCCGACGAGGAUGACGCACCCCGUCCUCGGGAUGUCCUCCAGCGGGAACGGCAGCCCCCGGUCGAGCCCGAACGCCUUCGUGCCGGCCGCCGCCGCCGACGACAUGCAGAACCGCCCGUUGUAGUCGAUCUGCGAGGUCCCCAGCACCACCCGAGCGAACUUCCCCAGCGCGUACGCCUUCUCGUUGGUCAGCCCGCCCCCGCCGAACACCCCGAGCGCGUCCGCGCCGUGCUCGGCACGCGUACCGGAGAGGUUCGCGGCGAUCCGCCCCAGCGCCUCCUCCCAGCUCGCCGGCACGAGCACCCCCUCGCCCGACCGCACCAGCGGCGACGUCAGGCGGACCCCGGACGAGAGCACCGCCGGCGCCGUCCGCCCCUUGCCGCACAGCGCGCCCCGGUUGACGGGGAAGUCCGCGCGUUCGGAGACCUCGACGGUCCCGCCCUCCACGGGCGUCAGGUUCAUCCCGCACUGCAGGGCGCAGUACGGGCAGUGCGUGGGCGUGGCGGUGUUCUGCAUGCCGCCAGCGUGCGACGCGCGUGUUACGCGUCCGGUCCGCCGUUUGUUACACCGCCGGGACGGUGACCUCCCCGGCGCUCACCGGCCGCCGUGAGGGCCGCGUCACCGGUUCGGCGCGCACGGGUCAGGGCCCGCUCCACGCCCGGCUCCCUCGGCCCCAGGAAGCGCGGGUCCGGCUCGAAGACCGCGUCCAGCGCCGCCUUGCCCGCCGCGAGGAUCUCCCGCGCGCCUCCGUAGUACCAGGUCAGGUCGUGCCGGUCGUCGACCCCGACGCCGUACGACGCCACCCCGGCCUCCUGGCACAGCGCCACCGCCCGCCGGAUGUGGAAGCCCUGGCUGAUCAGCACCGCCCGGUCGACCCCGAAGAUCUUCUUCGCCCGGACGCAGGAGUCC